Molecule: unclassified non-coding RNA, 259 nt
Filed under: uncultured fungus
Lineage: Eukaryota; Fungi
Also listed under: 1 other name
Description: partial contains 5.8S ribosomal RNA, internal transcribed spacer 2, and large subunit ribosomal RNA
Source: RNAcentral
AACGCACAUUGCGCCCAUUAGUAUUCUAGUGGGCAUGCCUGUUCGAGCGUCAUUUCAACCCUUAAGCCUAGCUUAGUGUUGGGAGACUGCCUAAUACGCAGCUCCUCAAAACCAGUGGCGGAGUCUGUUCGUGCUCUGAGCGUAGUAAUUCUUUAUCUCGCUUCUGCAAGCCGAUUAGACAACAGCCAUAAACCGCACCCUUCGGGGGCACUUUUUAAUGGUUGACCUCGGAUCAGGUAGGAAUACCCGCUGAACUUAA